GACGAACGCUGGCGGCGUGCUUAACACAUGCAAGUCGAACGGAAAGGCCCUGCUUUUGUGGGGUGCUCGAGUGGCGAACGGGUGAGUAACACGUGAGUAACCUGCCCUUGACUUUGGGAUAACUUCAGGAAACUGGGGCUAAUACCGGAUAGGAGCUCCUGCUGCAUGGUGGGGGUUGGAAAGUUUCGGCGGUUGGGGAUGGACUCGCGGCUUAUCAGCUUGUUGGGGGGGUAGUGGCUUACCAAGGCUUUGACGGGUAGCCGGCCUGAGAGGGUGACCGGCCACAUUGGGACUGAGAUACGGCCCAGACUCCUACGGGAGGCAGCAGUGGGGAAUAUUGCACAAUGGGCGGAAGUCUGAUGAAGCAACGCCGCGUGCGGGAUGACGGCCUUCGGGUUGUAAACCGCUUUCGCCUGUGACGAAGCGUGAGUGACGGUAAUGGGUAAAGAAGCACCGGCUAACUACGUG
This 468-nucleotide ribosomal RNA is filed under the name uncultured bacterium. RNAcentral's name for it is "partial 16S ribosomal RNA". It matches the Rfam family "Bacterial small subunit ribosomal RNA", at positions 28 to 507 of the family's 1533-position model. The record is from RNAcentral.